RNAcentral lists this ribosomal RNA (529 nucleotides) under uncultured bacterium. Its description in RNAcentral is "bacterial SSU rRNA". It matches the Rfam family "Bacterial small subunit ribosomal RNA", at positions 8 to 526 of the family's 1533-position model. The record is from RNAcentral.
AGAGUUUGAUCAUGGCUCAGAGUGAACGCUGGCGGCAGGCCUAACACAUGCAAGUCGAACGGCAGCACAGAGGAGCUUGCUCCUUGGGUGGCGAGUGGCGGACGGGUGAGGAAUACGUCGGAAUCUGCCUAUUUGUGGGGGAUAACGUAGGGAAACUUACGCUAAUACCGCAUACGACCUACGGGUGAAAGCGGAGGACCUUCGGGCUUCGCGCAGAUAGAUGAGCCGACGUCGGAUUAGCUAGUUGGCGGGGUAAAGGCCCACCAAGGCGACGAUCCGUAGCUGGUCUGAGAGGAUGAUCAGCCACACUGGAACUGAGACACGGUCCAGACUCCUACGGGAGGCAGCAGUGGGGAAUAUUGGACAAUGGGCGCAAGCCUGAUCCAGCCAUGCCGCGUGUGUGAAGAAGGCCUUCGGGUUGUAAAGCACUUUUGUCCGGAAAGAAAAGCAUUCGGUUAAUACCCGGGUGUUCUGACGGUACCGGAAGAAUAAGCACCGGCUAACUUCGUGCCAGCAGCCGCGGUAAUUC